This 439-nucleotide ribosomal RNA is filed under the name uncultured bacterium. Its description in RNAcentral is "bacterial SSU rRNA". It matches the Rfam family "Bacterial small subunit ribosomal RNA", at positions 959 to 1397 of the family's 1533-position model. The record is from RNAcentral.
ACGCGAGGAACCUUACCAGGUCUUGACAUCCCAUUGACCGCUAUGGAAACAUAGGUUUCCCUUCGGGGACAGUGGUGACAGGUGGUGCAUGGUUGUCGUCAGCUCGUGUCGUGAGAUGUUGGGUUAAGUCCCGCAACGAGCGCAACCCUUGUUCUUAGUUGCCAUCAUUUAGUUGGGCACUCUAAGGAGACUGCCGGUGACAAACCGGAGGAAGGUGGGGAUGACGUCAAAUCAUCAUGCCCCUUAUGACCUGGGCUACACACGUGCUACAAUGGACGGUACAAACGGUUGCCAACCCGCGAGGGGGAGCUAAUCCGAUAAAACCGUUCUCAGUUCGGAUUGUAGGCUGCAACUCGCCUACAUGAAGCCGGAAUCGCUAGUAAUCGCGGAUCAGCAUGCCGCGGUGAAUACGUUCCCGGGCCUUGCACUCACCGCCCGU